Long non-coding RNA from Protopterus annectens (West African lungfish), 897 nucleotides. RefSeq lists it as uncharacterized. NCBI's taxonomy places the organism in Eukaryota, Metazoa, Chordata, Ceratodontiformes, Protopteridae. The transcript has 3 exons. The record is from RefSeq and is a predicted model, not a curated record.
UUCAUUCUGAGCUGCAGCUCUCUGACAGCAGUGUAAAUGUCAGUUGUGCAACUUCUAGAUCUGUCUCAAGGAGAUACAGCUUUUUGUAAAACCGAUUCCAGGAGAUUAGCAGGAAAUCAGAAAUGAUGGAAUCAUUUAAAUUAUGAAUAUCAACAAGCAGUGUUUCCAUCUUGCGGAUGUUAGCUUGAACCAAUAAUUAUGGUAAAACAAGUCCUGCUGACGAUAAAGCUGUGCUCAAUCACAAACCAAGUAGUAUGAACAAAAAUCUAGAACACAGCACCACAGCAAACCAACAAAAAGCAGACGGCAAAGAGCAGUGUCAAAUCCAAAUAGACUUUUAUUCGAACACAGAGCAGUCUGUGUUAAAAGAUGGAAGAACUGGGUGCACCAGGUGAGGAUGAUGGAUAUGUUCUGCGGGCCAUUCAUGACCUAAAAAGUAAGUGUUAUAAUAUGAGUCUAUUUUGUAUACAUGAGUUGACUCCUAUAGGAAAAAUAUUUGAAGAGAAAUGCAGCAAAGGUAACAAAUUUCACAAUACAAAAAAUACGAUCACAAAGGGGGAGUGUAGAACAAAAGAUUAGUAAAUAGAAGUUAAACGGAUAGAAGUUGAAGUUAUAGAAUGCCCGUGAAGUGAAGGAUUUAGUGUAGAAAGUCGAACACAGGUUACCUCAUAGCAUGAUGGAGAAUGAGUCCCACGGGUACGCAGAAACAGGUGGAACGGGAGAGAUGUGAAGAAGAAGUAUGGGCAUAAGAAAGAAAAAGAUAUUUAAUAUGGGGCAAUAUUUAUGCAAAGAAGAAAGGAAACUAAUCAAUACAAAAAAGCAGCACCAAUGAUACGUGAAGAGAAAUACAGGCCAAGGCAUCCCGAUAUGGAAAGUUUUGCAAACAAAAAUUAAGAA